AUCAGGAUGGCCGAGUGGUUAAGGCGAUGGUCUCAAGAUCCAUAGGACAUUAGUUCUCGUGGGUUCAAACCCCACUCCUGGUA
Molecule: non-coding RNA, 83 nt
Organism: Gymnodraco acuticeps
Lineage: Eukaryota; Metazoa; Chordata; Actinopteri; Perciformes; Bathydraconidae
Source: the annotation of a RefSeq genome assembly